GUCUACGGCCAUACCACCCUGAACGCGCCCGAUCUUGUCUGAUCUCAGAAGCUAAGCAGGGUCGGGCCUUGUUAGUACUUGGAUGGGAGGCCCUCCUUUUCAACCGCCUCUACAGCUAGACA
RNAcentral lists this ribosomal RNA (122 nucleotides) under Ursus americanus (American black bear). Lineage: Eukaryota; Metazoa; Chordata; Mammalia; Carnivora; Ursidae. The record is from RNAcentral.